GGCGGCAUGCCUUACACAUGCAAGUCGAACGGCAGCACGGGGGCAACCCUGGUGGCGAGUGGCGAACGGGUGAGUAAUGCAUCGGAACGUGCCCUGAAGUGGGGGAUAACGUAGCGAAAGUUACGCUAAUACCGCAUAUUCUGUGAGCAGCAAAGCAGGGGAUCGCAAGACCUUGCGCUUUGGGAGCGGCCGAUGUCGGAUUAGCUAGUUGGUGAGGUAAAGGCUCACCAAGGCGACGAUCCGUAGCGGGUCUGAGAGGAUGAUCCGCCACACUGGGACUGAGACACGGCCCAGACUCCUACGGGAGGCAGCAGUGGGGAAUUUUGGACAAUGGGCGCAAGCCUGAUCCAGCCAUGCCGCGUGAGUGAAGAAGGCCUUCGGGUUGUAAAGCUCUUUCGGUGGGGAAGAAAUUGCUUAGGUUAAUACCUUAAGUAGAUGACGGUACCCGCAUAAGAAGCACCGGCUAACUACGUGCCAGCAGCCGCGGUAAUACGUAGGGUGCGAGCGUUAAUCGGAAUUACUGGGCGUAAAGCGUGCGCAGGCGGUUU
RNAcentral lists this ribosomal RNA (548 nucleotides) under uncultured beta proteobacterium. Its description in RNAcentral is "bacterial SSU rRNA". It matches the Rfam family "Bacterial small subunit ribosomal RNA", at positions 38 to 581 of the family's 1533-position model. The record is from RNAcentral. Lineage: Bacteria; Pseudomonadati; Pseudomonadota; Betaproteobacteria.